Long non-coding RNA from Dreissena polymorpha, 501 nucleotides. RefSeq lists it as uncharacterized. The transcript has 2 exons. The record is from RefSeq and is a predicted model, not a curated record. Lineage: Eukaryota; Metazoa; Mollusca; Bivalvia; Myida; Dreissenidae.
GGGCGGCGGGCGGAAGGCAUCACUUUGUCCGGACUCUAAUUCAAAUUGUAUUCAUCCGAUCUUCACCAAACUUGGUCAGCAGUUGCAUCUAGUUGAUAUCUAGGCCAAGUUCGAAUAUGGGUCAUGCCGGGUCAAAAACUAGGUCAUAGGGUCAAUAAGUGCAUUUUCAACGGCGCCACUUUGUCCGGACUCUAAUUCAAAUUGUAUUCAUCCGAAACUUUUAAACAACUUUUUAUCCUGCGUCAAAGUGGUAUGGGGGUAUAAGUCACAUUCAGUGACAAAGCUCUAGUUCAAGUUGAAUUCACCAAACUUGGUCAGAGGUAGUAUAUAGAUUAUAUAUCAGUCAGGUCUGAUUGGAGACAUGCAACCGAUUAACACAUGCAAUAUUUUUAUGCAAUAUUUUUAUCCAGUUUUAUUUUGCGAUAUUUUCAUCGGGUUUAUUUUUUUCGCGAUUUUUGAAACGAGUUAUUUUUAACAACAUGUUUAUUGGUAAGUUUCAUU